AACAAAAACAAAACAAAGUGCGAUUAGUAUGCUAAAACAGAGCCAAGGGAAAAAAGUGUAAAUGUAAUUGAUACUAUUUAUGAUAAGAAUAGACAACUAAUUUAUUGUUUUAUCAAAACUUUCAGUUAUUUGUCUAUUUUAAUGUUCGUGUUCGUCAGUUUGGAAUUUUCAUUAAUCCGAGAUUCAGUCCAAAUCUGAUUGAAUUUUCAUCAGCAAGUGGCAAGACAUUGUCUUCGUAGAGAGAAAUGAUUUGAUAUUUUUGGACGCUUUAUGGAGUUGAUGUUCUACAGAUUUUAUUUUAUUUGACAUGUUGGCUGGAUCAACAACAUAAACGACAACAUUUUAUGAUUGGAUAGCAUUUACAUUAUCGCGUCAAGUCUUGGGGAUUUUGGUUCUUUAGUGUCUUUUAAAGCACUCACUUCAAUAUUAACAAUGGAUAACAAUAUGCCUGAAUCAGCAUUUUCGACGUCUUCACGUAACGUGAAAUACAUAGUUUCACUGGCCGUUUAUUACAGUAAUUUCGUUUUGGGAGUUUGCAUAACAUUUCUUAGUCCACUGGUUCUGGAACUUACGAACAUCUUUGAUUCAACAGUGGAUCAAGUGUCCGAGGUUUUUACAAUUAUUUUGUUUUGCUAUCUCGCAAGUGCAUUGGUCUGUACACUAAUAUUCAAAUGUGUUAACCGGCAGUUAGUUGUCCUGCUGCUGCUUUCACUGAUUACUUCAUCAUUCUUUUUGAUACCAUCAGCCACCAAUUUGACCGAAUUUUUUGUGUAUAGCAGUUUAAUAGGUCUGGGUGGCGGUGGUUAUGAUACCGCCCAAGUGGCCUGGAUUAUUGAUAUAUGGAGAGAUGAAUCGCCACCGUGGAUCUUGACUCAACAUUUCGCCUACUCACUGGGAACCAGGGACUAACGUAAGGAUUUUCCCGUGGGUGGGAUUUCGACGAAAAGGCGCAAAAAUGACUUCCUAAUUCUUACUUAGAGGCGCCAAAAACAAUGAUUAAAAAAAGUCGAAUUUUUCCUAGGGAGAUUUGAAACACAUUUUCCUUCCACUUCUGAGCCCUUCUUCUGGUGAAAAAGCCCGCGUUUGUUUUGUUGUCAUUUAAUUUGAUUUCCUAUUUUGCAGAAUAAUUUGAGAUCUUACCAAUGGCAUGCAAUUUCUUGAUAAUUUUGCCAUUUGGCAAAACAGAUUUGCAGUAAUCAUCUGCGAAAAAAUUCUUUUCACAAAGAACGUGACUUACGUUACAAUCAAAUCUGAAGUGAAUAUGUAAUAAAGGGUAGCACUCAGCACGCUUCCUUGUGGGACUACUGCUAGGAUAUGAGCUAGAUAUCCUAGAUUUCUGACAAUAUGGUACAAAGACCGUUUUUGUGGAAAUGAUUGAACAAUUUUAAUAAGAUAGAAAGGAAACUUUCGAAGGAACAUUUUGUGUAUUAGACUCUUAUGCCAUGCACUAUCAGAGGCCUUCUCUAUGUCAAAUGUGAACAAUCCUGCAGAGUUUUUCUUAUUUAGAGCUUGUUGGAUAUGAUUACCUAAGAUUUUGCUGAUGGAGUUUGGCAGGCUAAUUGGUCUGUAGUUGCUAGCACCUGAUGUAUCCUUAAGGAAUGAAGACUGCUUUUGCAAUUGCUAACCAGCCUAGUAAUUUUCCACAGUUGGUUAGAGUAUUUUUUCAACUGUGAAAGUCAGUCGUUCCACAUUUCCUUAUUGAAGAAUUUAAAUUGAGCUUUGAUCAAUAUGUUCAGAUGGUUAAUUUUCUUGUCAAUGCUGAGGACAUGGUUUCGCUGCCACUGUCGAUUUUUGUAAUUUCUAACUGAUAUUAACUUUAAUAUCAUGUUGUCUAGAGUCGGCGAGUGGUCGACAGUCUUGUACACAGGAAUUCUUAAUCAAAUCAUCAAUUAACGACUUGGAAUUUAAGUGGUACGGAUCUGUCGACCACCUGACUGUUAAAAUCAAAGUACUUUUUACGUUUUUGUAAAAAUUUAUAGUGUGGUCAAAAUUGAAUUCGUGGAUGGGAAUUCAAAAGGCGCGGGUGGGAAAAUUCCCACCCACGAUGUUCCUUAGGUUAGUCCCUGCUGGGAACGCUGGCACCGCCCAUAAUUCUGGCCAACUUCCUAACGAACGGCGAUUCAACUGACAAAUUAGAACCUACAACCGCACGUGACAUUCGCACUCCGUUUUACAUCGCUGGAUCUUUGGCCAUAACUGCGGUGGUCAUAAACGCAAUCAUUUAUCUUACAUUCAGAAAGAGAACACCAGUGGUGGUCGUUACGAGCAACAUUCAAGAACCAAUAAUUGUUGACACUUCUUGGGAACGUGAAAGCAUUGACAGCAGAUCGAGUUCGUCUGGCGUAUCCGUAACAACGGCCCUAAUAUCUCGGAAUCGUGACUCGUCAAAACGGCGGAUUUACAUUAUCGGACUAUGUUGUGGUGUGAUUGGAUUCUAUUCGGCACUAGAACUAUGUACGCAACAGUUUUUACCCACCUACACUCAUUUCUCUCCCAUGAAACUAUCACCAACUGAAGCAGCAAAAGUGUUAUUCGGUCUUCAGCUCGGAUUCACUAUUGGUCGGCUAGUCGGAAUUUUGCUCAUUCUGAGAAUCCAGCCUCAUUUCAUAUUUGCUGGCAAUUUGAUUUUACUGGCCAUUUCCAAUACAAUUUUAUACAUUUGGGGUGGAUCGUCAAUGACAAUGUUAUGGGUGGGAAGUGUUAUGAUCGGCGUCGGAAUGUCCACAGUAUAUCCAUCACUGUAUGCUUACAUUGAAAAGUAUUUAUUCAUAACAGAGUCUGUAUCAGGAGUCAUAACAGUAGCUGGAAGUUGUAUGUCGGCUAUAUAUCCACUCAUUGUAGGGAAUUCUAUUGAAACAAAUCCGGAAAUUUUGAUGUAUGUUAAUUAUGCGAGUAUUUGUGUCUCGUCUGUUGCAUUUUCGUUACUAUUUUCUAUGACUUAUGUACGAACGAGGAUGGGAUAUACAAGAAUAUA
Long non-coding RNA from Bradysia coprophila, 2974 nucleotides. NCBI's taxonomy places the organism in Eukaryota, Metazoa, Arthropoda, Insecta, Diptera, Sciaridae. The record is from RefSeq and is a predicted model, not a curated record.